AGCAGCCGCGGUAAUUCCAGCUCCAAUAGCGUAUAUUAAAGUUGCUGCAGUUAAAAAGCUCGUAGUUGAAUUUCGGAACCAAUAUGUUGGUUGUGCCUCGGUACGUACUGGCAUUGUUGGUUUCUCCCUUCUGACGAACUAUGAUGUCAUUAAUUUGGUGUCAUGGGGAAUCAGGACUGUUACUUUGAAAAAUUAGAGUGUUUAAAGCAAGCUCACGCUUGAAUACAUUAGCAUGGAAUAAUGAAAUAGGACGUUUGAUUCUAUUUUGUUGGUUUCUAGGAUUGACGUAAUGAUUAAUAGGGAUAGUUGGGGGCAUUAGUAUUCAAUUGUCAGAGGUGAAAUUCUUGGAUUUAUUGAAGACUAACUACUGCGAAAGCAUUUGCCAAGGAUGUUUUCAUUAAUCAAGAACGAAAGUUAGGGGAUCGAAGACGAUCAGAUACCGUCGUAGUC
Molecule: ribosomal RNA, 450 nt
Filed under: uncultured Glomus
Lineage: Eukaryota; Fungi; Glomeromycota; Glomeromycetes; Glomerales; Glomeraceae
Description: SSU rRNA
Rfam family: Eukaryotic small subunit ribosomal RNA
Source: RNAcentral